RNAcentral lists this ribosomal RNA (662 nucleotides) under Athelia sp. Its description in RNAcentral is "partial large subunit ribosomal RNA". Lineage: Eukaryota; Fungi; Basidiomycota; Agaricomycetes; Atheliales; Atheliaceae. The record is from RNAcentral.
GAGCGGGAAAAGCUCAAAUUUAAAAUCUGGCUGCCUCCGGUGGUCCGAGUUGUAAUCUGGAGAAGCGUUUUCCGCGUCGGACCGUGUACAAGUCUUCUGGAACGGAGCGUCAUAGAGGGUGAGAAUCCCGUCUCUGACACGGACUACCGAUGCUUUUGUGAUGCGCUCUCGAAGAGUCGAGUUGUUUGGGAAUGCAGCUCAAAAUGGGAGGUAAAUUCCUUCUAAAGCUAAAUAUUGGCUAGAGACCGAUAGCGAACAAGUACCGUGAGGGAAAGAUGAAAAGCACUUUGGAAAGAGAGUUAAACAGUACGUGAAAUUGUUGAAAGGGAAACGCUUGAAGUCAGUCGCGUUGAUCGAGACUCAGCCUGGCUUGCCUGGUGUACUUCUCGGUYGACGGGUCAGCAUCAGUUUUGACCGCCGGAUAAAGGUUGGAGGAAUGUGGCAUCUCUCGGGAUGUGUUAUAGCCUCUGAUUCGCAUACGGCGAUUGGGACUGAGGAACUCAGCACGCCUUUAUGGUCGGGGUUCGCCCACGUAACGUGCAUAGGAUGCUGGCAUAAUGGCUUUAAGCGACCCGUCUUGAAACACGGACCAAGGAGUCUAACAUGCCCGCGAGUGUUUGGGUGUCAAACCCGAGCGCGUAAUGAAAGUGAAAGUUGAGAUC